Molecule: long non-coding RNA, 278 nt
Filed under: Elaeis guineensis (African oil palm)
Lineage: Eukaryota; Viridiplantae; Streptophyta; Magnoliopsida; Arecales; Arecaceae
Description: long non-coding RNA (EGUI_LNC010093)
Source: RNAcentral
GAGGGUGUACUUGAUUUGGGGCAUGGUUGAUAGGGGUGGAAUCGGGCCAAGCCCUACCUCUACUUGUGCCCAGCUCGAAAAAUUUUUUCGGACUUCGAGCCAGCCUUAGGUGCGAUUAUUUUAUAAAAAUCCAGUCUCGAGCCCGACCCAAACCUAGGCCUGAGCCUGGCCCAAGGUAGAGAAACCCAUUGGCCAUUUACUGUUAUUUUGGAACAGAUCCAGUUUUUCUUCUCUUCUUCUUCUUCUUCUUUUUCCUUUUUUUUCCCCUUCUUUGGGUG